RNAcentral lists this ribosomal RNA (353 nucleotides) under uncultured bacterium. Its description in RNAcentral is "bacterial SSU rRNA". It matches the Rfam family "Bacterial small subunit ribosomal RNA", at positions 917 to 1267 of the family's 1533-position model. The record is from RNAcentral.
GGGCUCGCACAAGUGGUGGAGCAUGCGGUUUAAUUCGAUGCUACGCGAAAAACCUUACCAACCCUUGACAUGGUAGUCGCGGAUCACAGAGAUGAGAUCCUUCAGUUCGGCUGGACUACACACAGGUGUUGCAUGGCUGUCGUCAGCUCGUGUCGUGAGAUGUUGGUUAAGUCCCGCAACGAGCGAAACCCUCAUCCUUAUUUGCUAGCGGUUCGGCCGGGGACUAUAAGGAAACUGCCGGUGAUAAGCCGGAGGAAGGUGGGGAUGAUGUCAAGUCAUCAUGGCCCUUAUGGGUUGGGCUACACGCGUGCUACAAUGGUAUCUACAGAGGGAAGCAAGAUGGCGACAUGGAG